UGAUCCUGCCGGAGGCCAUUGCUAUCGGAGUCCGAUUUAGCCAUGCUAGUCGCACGGGUUAGACCCGUGGCGAAUAGCUCAGUAACACGUGGCCAAACUACCCUGUGGACGGGGACAACCUCGGGAAACGGAGGCUAAUCCCCGAUACGGCUCUCACACUGGAACUGUCGAGAGGCCCAAACGCUCCUUGUGGGCGCUGGAGGAUGAGGCUGCGGCCGAUUAGGUAGACGGUGGGGUAACGGCCCACCGUGCCCAUAAUCGGUACGGGUCGUGAGAGCGAGAGCCCGGAGACGGAAUCUGAGACAAGAUUCCGGGCCCUACGGGGCGCAGCAGGCGCGAAACCUUUACACUGCACGCCAGUGCGAUAAGGGGACUCCAAGUGCGAGGGCAUAUCGUCCUCGCUAUCCUGUACUGUAGGGUAGUACAGUAUCAAGAGCUGGGCAAGACCGGUGCCAGCCGCCGCGGUAAUACCGGCAGCUCAAGUGAUGGCCGAUCUUAUUGGGCCUAAAGCGUCCGUAGCUGGCCCUGAAAGUCCGUCGGGAAAUCCAUCAGCCCAACUGAUGGGCGUCCGGCGGAAACUCCAGGGCUUGGGACCGGAAGGCUCGAGGGGUACGUCCGGGGUAGGAGUGAAAUCCCGUAAUCCCGAACGGACCACCGAUGGCGAAAGCACCUCGAGAAGACGGCUCCGACAGUGAGGGACGAAAGCUAGGGUCUCGAACCGGAUUAGAUACCCGGGUAGUCCUAGCCGUAAACGAUGUUCGCUAGGUGUGGCACAGGCUACGCGCCUGUGCUGUGCCGCAGGAAGCCGAGAAGCGAACCGCCUGGGAAGUACGUCUGCAAGGAUGAAACUUAAAGGAAUUGGCGGGGGAGCACUACAACC
This 880-nucleotide ribosomal RNA is filed under the name uncultured Halobellus sp. RNAcentral describes it as "bacterial SSU rRNA". It matches the Rfam family "Archaeal small subunit ribosomal RNA", at positions 9 to 886 of the family's 1478-position model. The record is from RNAcentral. Lineage: Archaea; Methanobacteriati; Methanobacteriota; Halobacteria; Halobacteriales; Haloferacaceae.